GGAGCGCGCUGCUGUGCGAGUGGGGUCCGCCGCGCCCUGGCUCUGCCGGUGCCGCCGCCGCCGCCGCCGCCGCCGCCGCCGUCUCGGGGGCCCCGCGCUCGCGCCGCUCCGGCUGCUGCUCUCUCCUGCCGCUGCCGAGGAAACUGACGGCGCUGGAGCGCGGCGGCUGGGCUCGGAGCCCGGGGAGUCAGCUGAUCCAGCCCACCCCGCUCGGCACCCGAGAGAGACCCCUAGCGGAGCCGCCGCGGAGGUGCGCGCGCUCGGCCGGGAGGGGCGGGAGCGGCCGGGAGGGGCCCGCGCCCCCCGCGCGCACAGGUGCGGCGUCCGCGGCUGCUCCGCGGCUGCUCCGCGCCCCGCGCGCCCCCGCCCCGGGGCUCCGCGGGCCUGCGGGAGAGGCUGGGGCGGCGCGAGGGACCGAGCGGGAUCAGGGCAAGAUGGAAAGAACUGGAAAAGAUGCUUGCCAGAGGUGCUGAGAGGGUUUCACAGGGCUGGCCCCUCCUGCAGGAUGGAGGACUACAUCAUGUGGAGAAGAGGAGUCAUUCCCCAGAGCAGCUGCCAGAAGCCACAGCUUGCCAUGGCUUGGGGCCACUGCCAGCAUUCCACAAGGUGACAGACUUUGAGGCUGAGGGAUGUUCUGCUGCAAGAUAUUGAAGACUUUGUCUACACACAUAUCAUAUUUAGGAUUGUCCUUUCAGUUCACCUCUUUAAAGAGAGAGAAGUCUUACUCUUUGGUAAGUAGCUCAACUUUCAAAAUCCUAGCAAAGACUAUAGCCAGAAAUGUGUGUUACCUAACCCUAAAAUGAUAGAGAAGAUUCCAGGCAGAUAUGCUUUAAGUAUUCAUGAACACCUUCUGUAAGUAAACAGCAUCCUGAAUGACAAAGCACACAAACCAACUAACAAAUAAAAGCUUCAUAGGCAUUCAGUAUAUAACUUUUGUCCAUAAGCAAACACCUGACUUUGCUGUAUCCCCCAAAUGUCCCAUGUGAUAUUUAUUCCCAUUAAAGUAAACAUAAGUCCUGGGAAUGCAAGUGUUUAGCAUUGGUGGAUCAAUCAAAUAUUUGUACACCUCCACUGUGGGAAGGAUAAAAACCUGAUACAUUCACUCCCCUUAAAGAGCAUAUGCUUAUGUGAGAAAAAUAUCUGGGGAGAAAAAAAGCAUAGUGAAUGGUGACUGUAGCUAACAAUACCGUAUUGUAUACUUGAAAGUUGCUGAGAGUAGAUCUUAAAAGUUCUCAUCACAAAGGGGAGCCUGGGUGGUUCAGUUGGUUAAGCUUCUGACUCUUGAUAUCGGCUCAGGUCUUGAUCUCUGGGUCAUAAACUCACACUGGGCAUGGAGCCUACAUAAAAAAAAUGUCAUUAUGGUGAUGACAGAUGUUAACCAAACUUACUGUGGUAAUGUUUCACUAUAUAUAUUUCACUAUAUAUAUAUAUAUAUAUAUAUAUAUAUAUAUAUAUAUACACACACACACACGCCUAUAUGUAUAUAUGCAUAGUAAAUAUGAAUAUGUGAAUAUAUAUGUGCAUAUAUGUACAUAUACAUAGUGAAAUUUAUAUAUAUAUUUAUAAAUAAAUGGUCAUCUCCUACAACUAAUAUUGUUACAUGUUAAUUACUUCUCAACUUAAAAUUUUUUUUAAAGAUUUUAUUUAUAUAUUCAUGAGAGAUACAGAGAGAGAAGUAGAGACAUAGGCAGAGGGAGAAGCAGGCUCCAUGCAGGGAGCCCGAUACGGGACUCGAUCCUGGCACUCUAGGAUCAUGCCCUGGGCUGAAGGUGACGCUAAACUGCUGAGCCACCCAGGCUGCCCUAAAUUGUUUUUUUUUUUUUAAAUACAGACAUGGUGGAAAACUUACAUCAGUAAGUACAACUUGAUAUAAAGUAUUUGUGUGUAUGUAUAUGAAUGCAUCAGAAAAAAAUUAGAAUCAUAAUCCUAUAGCACUAAAUAGGGUUAGUCAGGGACAUCAGUAAGAAGGGUUUUGUUUUUUGUUUUUGUUUUUGUUUUUUUUUUUUUUUUGCAGUGGAUUUGAUAGUAACAAUAAAAGGAAAAGAAUAGGGAGCAAGAAGGAGGAUAUUCUAAGGAAGGACCAUGUAAAUACAUCCAGAGUGUUCAUGAUGGAGCUGGUAAUUGGGAGUUAGCUGUGGGGGGCACAGUUAGUGUUUGAGGAGAUGAGGAAUUUAGGUCAGAUAGAAUGGGGGGCAGUGGGCUAAUACUGCUCACUACAGGUUCCUAAUCAGUCUGACAUACUGUGACAUUUCUAGAAAAAGGUCUGUCAGUGGGGAAAGUGGGGCAACUUGGAGGGUGAAAAAGUUGAAUUCGAUUGGGAAAAAUAGGGAGAAUUGCCAGAAGUUUCAGAUAUGACCAUGGAUGGGAUUUGUAUAAAGUGUGAAAAGUCAU
RNAcentral lists this long non-coding RNA (2391 nucleotides) under Canis lupus familiaris (dog). RNAcentral describes it as "lncRNA (ENSCAFG00845017653.1)". The record is from RNAcentral. Lineage: Eukaryota; Metazoa; Chordata; Mammalia; Carnivora; Canidae.